RNAcentral lists this long non-coding RNA (486 nucleotides) under Monodelphis domestica (gray short-tailed opossum). RNAcentral describes it as "lncRNA (ENSMODG00000039621.1)". The record is from RNAcentral. Lineage: Eukaryota; Metazoa; Chordata; Mammalia; Didelphimorphia; Didelphidae.
AUGGAAUGGAUGUGUCAAAUAUUUACACUUAACAGGAGUGUAAGCUGUAUAAUGUCUCUAGAGAAUCACAUCACCACAAGUGUUAGAAACAAAGCAUCAACUGGGAUACAGCCUGGCAUACUCGAAAGUUCAGACACUCCAAUGGAAACUCAGAUGUCAGCCCAGCCCAGCUUGUUCUCAGGUGCUCCUUCGGUGAUGGGGCAGGCUACGAUAUGCUGUAUGGUAACUAGUCCUGAAGGACAGGUUGGAGCCAAGAAAAAUAUUUACAGCCCAUGUGCCCAUGUGCCAUUAUUGAAUGUGACAGGACAAUCAGCAAAUUCAUUUUGGCUUAACAAUAGAGUUAAGGGAACUCAGUCAGGCACCGGCUGGAGUCCAUGGCUAAGGGGCCAAAGAGGAUGCUUCAUAUGGAGAGAAGAAAAGGAAAACUUUGGAAUGGAGAGGAAAAGGAAAGGAAACCUCUCCCUGAAACUAAAACAACAACUUUGA